This 390-nucleotide ribosomal RNA is filed under the name uncultured bacterium. Its description in RNAcentral is "bacterial SSU rRNA". It matches the Rfam family "Bacterial small subunit ribosomal RNA", at positions 28 to 417 of the family's 1533-position model. The record is from RNAcentral.
GACGAACGCUGGCGGCGUGCUUAACACAUGCAAGUCGAGCGGUAAGGCCCUUUCGGGGGUACACGAGCGGCGAACGGGUGAGUAACACGUGGGUGACCUGCCCUCCAGCUCUGGGAUAAGCCUGGGAAACCGGGUCUAAUACCGGAUAUGACUCCAUGACGCAUGUUGUGGGGUGGAAAGCCUUGUGCGGCUGAGGAUGGGCCCGCGGCCUAUCAGCUUGUUGGUGGGGUGAUGGCCUACCAAGGCGACGACGGGUAGCCGGCCUGAGAGGGCGACCGGCCACACUGGGACUGAGACACGGCCCAGACUCCUACGGGAGGGCAGCAGUGGGGAAUCUUGCGCAAUGGGCGAAAGCCUGACGCAGCGACGCCGCGUGAGGGAUGACGGCCU